RNAcentral lists this ribosomal RNA (468 nucleotides) under uncultured bacterium. RNAcentral's name for it is "partial 16S ribosomal RNA". It matches the Rfam family "Bacterial small subunit ribosomal RNA", at positions 28 to 507 of the family's 1533-position model. The record is from RNAcentral.
GACGAACGCUGGCGGCGUGCUUAACACAUGCAAGUCGAACGGAAAGGCCCUGCUUUUGUGGGGUGCUCGAGUGGCGAACGGGUGAGUAACACGUGAGUAACCUGCCCUUGACUUUGGGAUAACUUCAGGAAACUGGGGCUAAUACCGGAUAGGAGCUCCUGCUGCAUGGUGGGGGUUGGAAAGUUUCGGCGGUUGGGGAUGGACUCGCGGCUUAUCAGCUUGUUGGUGGGGUAGUGGCUUACCAAGGCUUCGACGGGUAGCCGGCCUGAGAGGGUGACCGGCCACAUUGGGACUGAGAUACGGCCCAGACGCCUACGGGAGGCAGCAGUGGGGAAUAUUGCACAAUGGGCGGAAGCCUGAUGCGGCGACGCCGCGUGCGGGAUGACGGCCUUCGGGUUGUAAACCGCUUUCGCCUGUGACGAAGCGUGAGUGACGGUAAUGGGUAAAGAAGCACCGGCUAACUACGUG